Molecule: ribosomal RNA, 751 nt
Filed under: uncultured bacterium
Lineage: Bacteria
Description: bacterial SSU rRNA
Rfam family: Bacterial small subunit ribosomal RNA
Source: RNAcentral
ACCUACCUUGUACAGGGGGAUAGCCUUUAGAAAUGAAGAUUAAUACCCCAUAAUAUUAUUGGAUCGCAUGGUUUGAUAAUUAAAGGUUACGGUACAAGAUGGGUAUGCGUCCUAUUAGCUAGAUGGUGUGGUAACGGCAUACCAUGGCAACGAUAGGUAGGGGCCCUGAGAGGGGGAUCCCCCACACUGGUACUGAGACACGGACCAGACUCCUACGGGAGGCAGCAGUGAGGAAUAUUGGACAAUGGAGGGAACUCUGAUCCAGCCAUGCCGCGUGCAGGAAGACUGCCCUAUGGGUUGUAAACUGCUUUUAUACAGGAAGAAACAGUGGUACGUGUACCACCUUGACGGUACUGUAAGAAUAAGGAUCGGCUAACUCCGUGCCAGCAGCCGCGGUAAUACGGAGGAUCCAAGCGUUAUCCGGAAUCAUUGGGUUUAAAGGGUCCGUAGCGGACUGGUCAGUCAGAGGUGAAAUCCUGCAGCUCAACUGUAGAACUGCCUUUGAUACUGCUAGUCUUGAAUCAUUAUGAAGUGGUUAGAAUAUGUAGUGUAGCGGUGAAAUGCAUAGAUAUUACAUAGAAUACCAAUUGCGAAGCAGAUCACUAAUAAUGUAUUGACACUGAUGGACGAAAGCGUAGGUAGCGAACGGGAUUAGAUACCCCGGUAGUCUACGCCGUAAACGAUGGAUACUAGCUGUUCGACUUCGGUUGAGUGGCUAAGCGAAAGUGAUAAGUAUCCCACCUGGGGAGUA